CACAUAUGUAUAUAUAUACUGGGUGAAUAUGUUCAGAUAUUUAAUACAAACUUCCAUAUAUUUAAUCACGAAUGUAAGUGAACAAAAGAUUCGCAACGAAUGACAGAGCUACGGUAGACGCCUUUUCCUAUUUUUCGCAAGAAACAUUUGUCAAACAACAAUGAACCGAAGCCAUUAGUCUGCGGUCAUACUGGGAAACUGCAUUCAAGAACUUUCGUCAAACGAAUUGACAUUAAUACUCAUGUUUCUAAACUCGAAACUGUCUUACAACGUGUUGUAGUAAUGAGCAGAACGGUUUAAGAAUUCGUCGUGAAAAUAUGAACUGGAUAUCCGCUUAAUAAUACUGAUGCCAGGAUUUUACUAAACCACAUAAAUAAUAAUUUCUUCAUAGGAUUAUAAAUAUCCUAUGAUCUUUAAUAGAAAAGGCAUUAAGGUGUGCUAUGGGUCUACUAAUAACUCGCUGCUUUCAUAACAAGAACAAACUGGAGAGACAUUUUCGGCACAAACAUCUAUACAAUUCUGCUCUGUAUAAUUGAAACACCUGAAUAUUUACUCUGUGUGUCAUUUUAACAUUGUAAAUAAAGCGAAACAAAAACUUAUAUAGUGUUUACUCCUAUUUGACAGUAAACAUGAUAUGUUUACUGCUAUUUUAGAGAAGAUGCAAGCAUUAUUCAUUUGUUUCCACACACACACAUAAAAAAACUGUACUACAACACUCUCGCAAUAUAUCUGGAGUUUAAAAUAUAACUUCAACAAUUGGGAAAACAAUAUUAUUUCAUUACAGAACAUGCACGUCCUUACCAUAAUAAAUGAAGAACAUGUAAUAUCAAAACAGUGCUUUAUAAUUUUGAACAAAUAUCAGCUGGUUAAUUAGUUCACUAUUAACUCAAUCGCGGUUUUUAAAGUCAUUGAACUGUAAUUGUAUAAUACCUGGAAGGUGUUUUUUAAUCUAUUUCCACGUGACUUAGAACACUGUGAAAAUAGUCAUCUGUUGAAAAUAACUUUAUGUUUUCCAACUCUGAGACUAUAUUAAUAAUAGACUGCUUCCAAAAAGCGUACACACAUACCACACACACACACACACACGCACACACAGACACACACAUACGCACAUAUAGCCGAGAAGUGAAAUGGGCGCACAUAUGUUUAUUCCAUUUGUUUACAGCUAUUUCAUAACCUUCUUCAUUAUAUAAUAGGUAUUAGGUCAACCUUUCCACGUAUAUAACAUAUAUAUAAAUAUUUACGCAUGUGUUCAACCAUAAGUUAUAAGUAUGCUGGAAGUAAAACAGACUGAUUUAUCUUCAGAACAACUGAUAGUAAUACAAAACAUCAAAUCUGUUAUACGGACCAAGAUGCGCCAGAAUAUAUCCAGAGGCGAUAGUGUCCUCAGCAGGUUCACACUUAUGAUUUACUUUAAAGAAGCAUGGCAAUCGAUCAAUGAAUAUUCAGAGAAGGAAGCAGUAGAGAAAUAUAAUAAAAAUGAAAACUAUCACAUAUAUAUAUCUUCUCAACUGUGACCGUCCCGUCUGUUUAUAUUAUUCAGACUUUAUGACCCGUUGUGACCAUCACCAUUUGAAAACGGAGUGUACAUUGUAGUUUAUCUGUUAUUGUUUGCAGACCAAGGAACAACCUGGAGACAUCAUCGUAUUUGUUUCUGCUAGUAAUACAAGAUAUAUUUCAUUGAAAACAUCGGUUCUUCUGCUCACUGUUUUCCAUUCGGCUUUACUUGUAAUUUCUAAACUACUUUAAAUGUUAUGAAAUCAUUUAAUGAACGAAAAGCAAAGAAAACUCAUCACUAUGAUCUACGUAGAUUCAUCAGAAUCUAAAAGCAAAAGUGAAAACAAAAAAUUCUGGCACGUUACCAAAAUCUCAAUUAGUUAUGUGGCAUAAUUUAUUUCAUGUGUGAACGAAUAUGGCACGUGACAGUAAACUAUGAGGUCAAGUAUUAGUAAUAGAUUCAUGUCAAAAGUGACUAAAAAUUUGCAGUAUAAACCACAUCAGUUACAAUUAGUGUGAGUGCUGUAAAAAUAUUUAUGAAAUGGCCUGUGAAAAUAGAGAGGAAACUGCGGCAGUAUCUAAAAUCACAGUUGGAAUGGAGGUUUAUAUGUGUGGGAUUGUUUCUCAACGGUUUUAUACAUAUACCAUUGUUGAUUUCUUUCUACGUGGCAAAUAUAUAUUUUAUUUCUUCUUUUGUUUUUUUUAUAAAUUUGGUUACCUCAUGCUAGAAGUUUCUUUGAUAUAUGAGAUAACUUGUUUGUGAAAAUAUUGGCUACAAAAUGGUAUGUUAACAAUGUUGUGUAUAAAGUUUUACAAAUAAAAAUGCUAGUGAUAAAUGAUAAAUCUAGGGAUUUAACACUAGAGGUACCGAGCGAUCAUUUAUGACCGCUUUUUCAUUUUACAUUUUAAUUUCAACGACUGUAUUGGAUGUGAAAUCCUGAAUAUCCUUUCAUAUAUGUGUAUAUAAUUUUUUUUUCUUUGUACGUACAUAAAUACUAAAAGGCUGUAUUUACAAAUCCUUUAUACAAUGCAUUAACUUAUGUUAAAGAUAAAAUGUAUUAAAGAUUUUCAAUGCCGGUCAAAUACGACCGCUACGGUACUUCUAGGCAGUAAGAAUUACUGGUACUUCUAGUGUUAAAUCCGUCAUUAUUCGGAGUGUGCUGUAUUAUAUGGAGGCAUUUCUUCCUAUUUUUCGUUCUGGAUUCAAAUUACACUGGGGACGACUUUACAUUUUAUCCUUUCAAGAUCAAUAAAAUAAAGUACCAGUUCAAUACUGGUUCCCUGAAUUUCCUUGCCAUGUGGAAAAUUUGAAACCAAUUCCUUAGUAAGUAUUUUGUGUUGCUGGAGCUUUGAUUAUCUUUUGCUCGUAUGAAACACAUCACAAGGUAUCCGAAGGAUUUAUGUGUUUGCAAAUUCUACACAUAGCUCUGUUAAACUGAGCGACAGAUUAAUUUGUCUACAAAUGUAUUCUAUAGUAAAAUUGGAACUCAGAACACAAAGACCUGGAGGAAAUAGCCUAAGACAUCCUGUCUCUACGUUUUUACGCUUCUACCAAGUGAUUGCAGUGAAUUCGUAGUUCUAUUUAAGAAUACCGAGGUACAGAAAUGCAAAUUUGAACUCGGUGAAAUUUGAACUCUGAGCACCAAAUACCUGAACGCUAAGAGCGUGGUAUUCUAUCUAACGCUCGUACAAUUCUACCAAAUACCUUGUCACAGUCGUAGUGACGGCGUUGACCGAGAUUUUAGGUUUGUACAAUGCUAUGUUUUUUUUCCAAAUGACGGAAUUAAUCAAUUGCAUUAAAACAGGUCACGUUCAGUACAUUUUUCAUCUUCUCGGUGACAAAACAAGCAAAGUUUACUCUGCAAGAGACAAAAUUAGAUGCAUUAUUUAUUUACAAAUGAGUGUAUAUAUAUUUGCCUAUGUGCGUAUGCGUAAUGUAUGUGGACUUACAUGUGUUUUUGCCUGUACAUGUAUAAAGGUAGAUAAUUGAGCAGAUGACGUGUGAGCAGAGAAGUGAGCGAUGUAAAAAAAUA
Molecule: long non-coding RNA, 3530 nt
Organism: Octopus bimaculoides (California two-spot octopus)
Lineage: Eukaryota; Metazoa; Mollusca; Cephalopoda; Octopoda; Octopodidae
Source: RefSeq, a predicted model, not a curated record